AAACGAUUCUCCUGCCUCAGCCUCCAGAGUACCUGGGAUUACAGCUUCCAGUAAACUUUUAAAAUGAAAAAGAAGGCAAGAUUAAAUAAUCUCAACUAUGUGACUGCUUAAAUGGGGAAUGAAAUCAAUUCUUCACAUCUAUGGAAAAACAAGUGAGCCAGGGUUGUGAUUCCAACUGGAUAAAGAAUGAACGUGGAAUUAUUAAUGUGAUGUAACAGAGGAAGAAAUAAGUUUAAUUGAUCAAGUAUUUGCUCAGUAUGUACUAGGAGCCUGGAAAUUGAAGAGUUUUAUCUCUUGGAAUUCCUUAAGAAAAACCUUGGCUUAAUAAUUUAAAUGUUUUCAUGUCUGAAGCAGGAAAAUGAAUUAGCUAUUACAGGUGCAUUCUUGUUCUUUGAUGCUUACUUGUUAGGACAUAGGCCACCCUUCACUGCUAGUAAUGUGUUCUUAGACAGAAUUAAAAUUGAGCCCACAUCACAUUCUCACAGCCAAACUUGUAAAUCUAUCCUUUAAAGCUCAAAUUUCUGUUUUGAUUAGAUGCAAAACAUUCAGAUGAUUUAUGAUUGUUUAAUUAAAAGAAAUCAGUGAAAUAAAAACAAAUUAAACUGUUUUAA
Molecule: long non-coding RNA, 611 nt
Filed under: Homo sapiens (human)
Lineage: Eukaryota; Metazoa; Chordata; Mammalia; Primates; Hominidae
Description: HSALNT0345844
Source: RNAcentral